Molecule: ribosomal RNA, 460 nt
Filed under: uncultured Planctomycetota bacterium
Lineage: Bacteria; Pseudomonadati; Planctomycetota
Description: bacterial SSU rRNA
Rfam family: Bacterial small subunit ribosomal RNA
Source: RNAcentral
GUGCAGCAGUCGAGAAUCAUCCGCAAUGCGCGCAAGCGUGACGGUGCGACGCCGCGUGCGGGAGGAAGCCCUUCGGGGUGUAAACCGCUUUUCAGAGGUAUGAAGUGCGCCCGCCGAACAAGCGGGUGGCAUUGACGUCAACUCUGGAAUAAGCCACGGCUAACUUCGUGCCAGCAGUCGCGGUAAUACAGAGGUGGCGAGCGUUGUUCGGAAUUAUUGGGCGUAAAGAGCACGUAGGUGGGUUUGCAAGUCAGAUGUGAAAGCCUUCUGUUCAACGGGAGAAUUGCAUCUGAAACUGCUAAUCUUGAGUGUAGGAGGGGAGAAUGGAACUUCUGGUGGAGCGGUGAAAUGCGUAGAUAUCAGAAGGAACGCCGGCGGCGAAAGCGAUUCUCUGGCCUAUUACUGACACUCAGUGUGCGAAAGCUAGGGGAGCAAACGGGAUUAGAUACCCGCGUAGUCC